UUUUGUUUAUCGAUUUAUGUUUUCAUUUAUGUUUUAAAAGCAUGUUUUUUUUGCUCAUUUAUUUGAUAUUCUUGCAUUGUCAUUGUUUAUUUUUUUAGUUUUGUUUAUUUAUUUGUUUAUAUUAUUUUUAUGUCAUUGUUGUAUUUAUUAUUGUUGUAUUCGUUAUCGCGACAUUUAUACAUGCAAUAUAACAUUACAUC
This 200-nucleotide long non-coding RNA is filed under the name Gossypium raimondii (Peruvian cotton). RNAcentral describes it as "long non-coding RNA (GRAI_LNC007499)". Lineage: Eukaryota; Viridiplantae; Streptophyta; Magnoliopsida; Malvales; Malvaceae. The record is from RNAcentral.